Molecule: ribosomal RNA, 491 nt
Filed under: uncultured bacterium
Lineage: Bacteria
Description: partial 16S ribosomal RNA
Rfam family: Bacterial small subunit ribosomal RNA
Source: RNAcentral
AGUGAACGCUGGCGGUAGGCCUAACACAUGCAAGUCGAACGGCAGCACAGUAAGAGCUUGCUCUUACGGGUGGCGAGUGGCGGACGGGUGAGGAAUACAUCGGAAUCUACUUUUUCGUGGGGGAUAACGUAGGGAAACUUACGCUAAUACCGCAUACGACCUACGGGUGAAAGCAGGGGAUCUUCGGACCUUGCGCGAUUGAAUGAGCCGAUGUCGGAUUAGCUAGUUGGCGGGGUAAAGGCCCACCAAGGCGACGAUCCGUAGCUGGUCUGAGAGGAUGAUCAGCCACACUGGAACUGAGACACGGUCCAGACUCCUACGGGAGGCAGCAGUGGGGAAUAUUGGACAAUGGGCGCAAGCCUGAUCCAGCCAUACCGCGUGGGUGAAGAAGGCCUCUGGGUUGUAAAGCCCUUUUGUUGGGAAAGAAAAGCAGCAGGUUAAUACCCCGCUGUUCUGACGGUACCCAAAGAAUAAGCACCGGCUAACUUCGU